Small nuclear RNA from Suncus etruscus (white-toothed pygmy shrew), 104 nucleotides. The record is from RefSeq and is a predicted model, not a curated record. Lineage: Eukaryota; Metazoa; Chordata; Mammalia; Eulipotyphla; Soricidae.
GUGCUCGCUUCGGCAGCACAUAUACUAAAAUUGAAACAAUAGAAAGAAGAUUAGCAUGGCCCCUGCACAAGGAUGAUAUGCAAAUUCUCACACCACAGAGAUUG